This is a long non-coding RNA of Drosophila miranda, 2328 nucleotides long. RefSeq lists it as uncharacterized. The transcript is spliced from 4 exons. NCBI's taxonomy places the organism in Eukaryota, Metazoa, Arthropoda, Insecta, Diptera, Drosophilidae. The record is from RefSeq and is a predicted model, not a curated record.
GCCAACACGCAAGCUGAAAAUGUGAAUUAGAGAUGCGCAUCAGUGUGGACUUAGAGGCAGGAAAAAGCAAUUCGUCAGUAUAUUUACGGCAUGCAAAUCAGUGUGAUACAAAUAAUCACAUGCAAUAAAAUACCGAAGUCUGAAAUCGAUAAAAGGAUUUUCUCAGCUGAUUUGUAGCUCGAUAAACAAAUUCAAAAAACCAUAAAAGGACUUGUUCCACUUAAGAACCUCGUAAUUAGUCAUGUUUCUGGUGGAGAAUGGGGCCAACAUCAAGAGGCCAAAUGUGAACGGCGGCACGUCUCUCAUUAACUCGGUGCAAUAUGUCCAGCUCUUUUUGUACUUUCUGCAAGACGGACAUUCGGAAAACGAGUGGAGGCUGAGGUCCUCUGCAGCGGCAACUCCUCUAGACAGUGCAUCUAGUCGGAACACCCAGUGGCUUGCAUUUAUCAGCAGCACAUCUCCAUCAAAGGGAGAUGUCCAUCCGCCGAUGAUCUGCUAUCGCCUGCCACAAUUAUACGCAGCAGCGCACAAUAUCCGCACGUUAGCCUGCGGCCUUGCUGUUCGUUACCCGGCCAUGGGUGUCAUUAACGAUUUUACAUCAGGAAGGAGUGAGGAGUUACGCGUCUGUGGGACGUCUACGGACGGGACAACAACGAACCUGAUAAGAAGUCUUUGAUCACGUAUAUCUUGUCGAUGCACGAUGUGUUCCCGGAGCCGCCUUGAUCCAUUCAUUGCAGAGCUCAUUUGUGCAGCAUUGUGGCAUUUGCCAGCAAAAGCUUGAUGCUGUGACUUCUGGCUUCGAUCUGGAGCACCCCCCGUUUUUGAUCUGUAGGGGUCAUGAAUCGACUCAGUAUGUGUUGGAAGGCGCCUUGCUGAUCAGCUGCCUAGACAGCUGACCGCAGAACGGACAAGUGUAGAAGUCAGCCGAGGUCAGGGUUGCUUAAUUUUGACAACCUAGAGGGCGUAACCUCCCCAUGCAAGAGUGCAUGCAAAUGACAAGCGGCCAGAUCAAGUUUCCGGCUUCGAUCUUUUCCUGUGCGACAAUCAAGCCAACAAGACGUGUUUUGUAAACAGUGAAAAGUUUGCCAUCCGCGCCGAAUUACACUACAUAAAGUCAAAAGUGUGUACAGUGCCGGAAGGUGUAUAAGUGUAGCCGUUUCUGCUGGAACAACCUCUUCUGUGGGCGUUCCAACCCAGAGGACCGCCAGAGGCUGGAUUAAUCUGUGAACAUCCACGGAUUCCGCUGCCACUGCGCAAAAGAUAUUCUGCGGAAAUUGCGGACCAGCUCUUCGGAAAGACGCCGCCUUGCGCGCCCCAGCCUAGCGCCACCCGUGCUAAGGCGCCGCAAGGCACCCCCACGUUUGCGGCACCAAAGAGUGACCAGCAAAGUGGAGUUCUUCGACACGCCUAGAAAUCGCUGGCGUCAGCACUCUGAUUCAUCAUUUAUCCUGGAUCCGCCGAGGGGCCCGUAGAUUCCACGUGCCGCAUCAACGAGCGAUCCACUGCUCGUGGGCUGAGAUUCUCGUCCCGUUGGCCGCUCCCCGUCCCCAGCCGGCGCACAAGUCGCCCGACGAGGCGUGUGUGCCGACAAAACAAGGCGCGUACGAGCCGUGCCACAUUUAAAAUAUUUAUAAACAUUGAUAGAAAUACCGAAAGAAAACUCAAUAUACCGUUCCCGCUUCCAUAGAGCCCUGUAUUAAUAGAGUUUCGUCGACAUAUAAAAAGAUCUCGGUCCGUGGUUAGAAAUGGCGCAUUAAAGCCGGUGGUGAGGAACAAUUAUGGCCCCAGAGAUGCCCUGAAUAAUUAAAAUUAAUAGUUACGUUUUUUUGGAGACCAGAUGCCAGUUUCAGUAUCAGUAUCAGUUCCAAAACAGACCAAUGAAGUUCCUAAUAUUUAGCUUUAAUUAUUAGUAUGGCCCGUUCGUAUUAAGAAUUUAUAUAAAGUAUGGAAAAUAGAUAGAGGAAAUUGUGAGAAACCUAAGAAGUACCGAGAAGAAAAGGAAAAACAGAAAUUUAAUGGUUCUAGGACUAACUCCGUAUGAGGAAAGUCAAAGGUUGCGAAAAAUAAUAAUGUAAACGAAAGGAAGGAUAAUGUUCUAUUUCAGAGUCGCCGGGAGAUCGAUCAUUCGCCGAUGGAGGAGCAUGACUGCGUGAGUACAAUCCUGCGCCUUUCGUUUGAUUCUGGUAGUUGCGCCCGAUCCUACAUGUACAUGAUACAUGUACAUAUAUUAGAUAUAAAGACCUAGCAUUAGAAAAUUAUGCCAUCUCCGAUUAUAUUAGUUUUAACCGUUUCUCGAACAAAUAUAUAAUGAAAUUCAGAUAAAGAUAA